Molecule: ribosomal RNA, 848 nt
Filed under: uncultured Flavobacteriaceae bacterium
Lineage: Bacteria; Pseudomonadati; Bacteroidota; Flavobacteriia; Flavobacteriales; Flavobacteriaceae
Description: bacterial SSU rRNA
Rfam family: Bacterial small subunit ribosomal RNA
Source: RNAcentral
AGCGGCAGGCCUAACACAUGCAAGUCGAGGGGUAACAGGAAGUGCUUGCACUUCGCUGACGACCGGCGCACGGGUGAGUACCGCGUAUACAAUCUGCCUCAUACUAGGGGAUAGCCCGAAGAAAUUUGGAUUAAUACCCUAUAGUAUCUUUUUAAGGCAUCUUAUUAAGAUUAAAGGUUACGGUAUGAGAUGAGUAUGCGUUCUAUUAGCUAGUAGGUGUGGUAACGGCACACCUAGGCUACGAUAGAUAGGGGCCCUGAGAGGGGGAUCCCCCACACUGGUACUGAGACACGGACCAGACUCCUACGGGAGGCAGCAGUGAGGAAUAUUGGACAAUGGGCGAAAGCCUGAUCCAGCCAUGCCGCGUGCAGGAUGACUGCCCUAUGGGUUGUAAACUGCUUUUAUAUAGGAAGAAAAACUUUCUCGUGAGAAAGCUUGACGGUACUAUAAGAAUAAGGAUCGGCUAACUCCGUGCCAGCAGCCGCGGUAAUACGGAGGAUCCAAGCGUUAUCCGGAAUCAUUGGGUUUAAAGGGUCCGUAGGUGGACAAAUAAGUCAGAGGUGAAAUCCUGCAGCUCAACUGUAGAACUGCCUUUGAUACUGUUUGUCUUGAGUUAUUAUGAAGUGGUUAGAAUGUGUAGUGUAGCGGUGAAAUGCAUAGAUAUUACACAGAAUACCGAUUGCGAAGGCAGAUCACUAAUAAUCAACUGACACUGAGGGACGAAAGCGUGGGUAGCGAACAGGAUUAGAUACCCUGGUAGUCCACGCCGUAAACGAUGGUCACUAGCUGUUUGGACUUCGGUCUGAGUGGCUAAGCGAAAGUGAUAAGUGACCCACCUGGGGAGUACG